UCGAACCAAAAAAACCUGGUAAAACAAAAUCAAAGAUCGAUCAUAGUUCAGCUAACCGGUUCUCAACCACGGUUCCAGUUAAAGCAACCUUGUGAGCACCAUUAAGACUCUUAAUAUCUUUAGAUAAGAUCGAUGAAGCAUUCUUAAUGCUUUGUGCUUCAUCUAAAACAAUGUAAGCAUAAUCUUUUUUAGCAUGGUAUGCACGAUCUUUUUUAAAAGCAGAGUAAGUGGUGAUUUCAACCAGAUGGUUUCUUGAGUUGAUUAUCGCUCUACGAUUAUCAACAUUUCCAGAUAUCGUAGCCACAACUAAAUCUGGGUCAAAUUUCUUGAACUCACUAGCCCAAUUUAAUAACAACGAAGCAGGUGCUACGAUUAAGCUUUGCUUAAUUUCAUGGGGGCGGUCUUUAUAGAAUUGGGAGAUAACUGAGAUCAUUUGGAUCGUUUUACCCAACCCCAUAUCAUCUGCCAUAAUCCCACCAAACCCAAACUUUUGUAAGAUUCUCAACC
RNAcentral lists this non-coding RNA (507 nucleotides) under Mycoplasmoides gallisepticum S6. Lineage: Bacteria; Bacillati; Mycoplasmatota; Mycoplasmoidales; Mycoplasmoidaceae. The record is from RNAcentral.